RNAcentral lists this ribosomal RNA (253 nucleotides) under uncultured bacterium. Its description in RNAcentral is "partial 16S ribosomal RNA". It matches the Rfam family "Bacterial small subunit ribosomal RNA", at positions 524 to 776 of the family's 1533-position model. The record is from RNAcentral.
UACGGAGGGUGCAAGCGUUAUCCGGAUUCACUGGGUUUAAAGGGUGCGUAGGUGGGUUGGUAAGUCAGUGGUGAAAUCCCCGAGCUUAACUUGGGAACUGCCAUUGAUACUAUCAGUCUUGAAUAUUGUGGAGGUUAGCGGAAUAUGUCAUGUAGCGGUGAAAUGCUUAGAUAUGACAUAGAACACCAAUUGCGAAGGCAGCUGGCUACGCAUAUAUUGACACUGAGGCACGAAAGCAUGGGGAUCAAACAGG